GUGGGGAAUCUUGCGCAAUGGGCGAAAGCCUGACGCAGCCAUGCCGCGUGAAUGAUGAAGGUCUUAGGAUUGUAAAAUUCUUUCACCGGGGACGAUAAUGACGGUACCCGGAGAAGAAGCCCCGGCUAACUUCGUGCCAGCAGCCGCGGUAAUACGAAGGGGGCUAGCGUUGCUCGGAAUUACUGGGCGUAAAGGGCGCGUAGGCGGAUCGUUAAGUCAGGGGUGAAAUCCCAGAGCUCAACUCUGGAACUGCCCUUGAUACUGACGAUCUUGAGUGUGAGAGAGGUAUGUGGAACUCCGAGUGUAGAGGUGAAAUUCGUAGAUAUUCGGAAGAACACCAGUGGCGAAGGCGACAUACUGGCUCAUUACUGACGCUGAGGCGCGAAAGCGUGGGGAGCAAACAGGAUUAGAUACCCGGGUAGUCC
Molecule: ribosomal RNA, 425 nt
Filed under: uncultured bacterium
Lineage: Bacteria
Description: partial 16S ribosomal RNA
Rfam family: Bacterial small subunit ribosomal RNA
Source: RNAcentral